GAACGCAUCUUGCGCUCCUUGGUAUUCCGAGGAGCAUGCCUGUUUGAGUGUCAUUUAAUUUCUCAAACCACAUUUGAAUUCUUUCGGUGUGGAUUGGAUGUGGGGGGUUUUGCGGGCUUCUCAAGAAGAAGUCGGCUCCCCUGAAAUGUAUUAGUGGUAUCUGAGCUACUGCUAUUAGGUUUGAUAAAUUAUCUAUGCCUUUUGGUAUGCUGCAUAAACAGAUUGCACCGCUUCUAAAAAUGCGAGUGGUCGUUGAACCACACAAUUUUGAUGAAUUUGACCUCAAAUCAGGUAGGACUACCCGCUGAACUUAAG
RNAcentral lists this unclassified non-coding RNA (315 nucleotides) under Inocybe pusio. RNAcentral's name for it is "sequence contains 5.8S rRNA gene". The stretch from base 1 to 53 matches the Rfam family "5.8S ribosomal RNA", at positions 102 to 154 of the family's 154-position model. Lineage: Eukaryota; Fungi; Basidiomycota; Agaricomycetes; Agaricales; Inocybaceae. The record is from RNAcentral.